GCCCAUGAGGCUCAGUGGAUAGAGCAUCAGCCUUUGGACUGAGGAGUCCUGGGUUUGAUUCCCAUCAAGGGCA
Molecule: transfer RNA, 73 nt
Filed under: Myotis davidii
Lineage: Eukaryota; Metazoa; Chordata; Mammalia; Chiroptera; Vespertilionidae
Rfam family: tRNA
About the family: Transfer RNA (tRNA) molecules are approximately 80 nucleotides in length.
Source: Rfam by way of RNAcentral